GUACACGCUGUGACUAGCAUAUCAAUAAGCGGAGGAAAAGAAACUAACAAGGAUUCCCUUAGUAACGGCGAGUGAAGCGGGAAGAGCUCUAAUUUGAAAUCUUCAAGGUUUUACCUUGACGAAUUGUAGUUUAAAGAAGUGUUUUCUGCUGAAGUUUUGGUAAAAGUUCUUUGGAAUAGGACAUCAUAGAGGGUGAGAAUCCCGUAUUUGACCAUUAUUUUCAGCUUUGUGAUACACUUUCAAAGAGUCGGAUUGUUUGGGAAUGCAGUCCAAAAUGGGUGGUAAAUUUCAUCUAAAGCUAAAUAUUGGCGAGAGACCGAUAGCGAACAAGUACCGUGAGGGAAAGAUGAAAAGAGCUUUGAAAAGAGAGUUAAACAGUACGUGAAAUUGUCAAAAGGGAAGCGUUUGACACCAGUGUUGUUUUCUCGAAAAUCAAUUAAAAAUGGCUCGAUUUUGUAUUGUUGAGACCUUAUAAGCUUCACUGUACAUCUUUUCGUGUCUUUUUAAUGCACUUUUCGUUUAACAAGUCAACAUCAGUUUCUUUUGUUGUAAAAGGGUCAUUGGAAGGUGGCUUUCUUUUCGGAGGAAGUGUUUAUAGCCUUUGGCCUCUGCAAUCGGAGAGACUGAGGUCUGCAGCGUAGACUCUUCGGGGUUAGAUACAUUUGUGCUAAGUUAUAGCUUUUCAUAGACAACUUGUUGACUAUAGUUAGUCAUUGUAGCUUACUCGCUUAUGCUAUUUUACCUACGCUUAGGAUGUUGAUCUACAGAGCGAGAGU
This 776-nucleotide ribosomal RNA is filed under the name uncultured Neocallimastigales. RNAcentral describes it as "partial large subunit ribosomal RNA". It matches the Rfam family "Eukaryotic large subunit ribosomal RNA", at positions 22 to 635 of the family's 3401-position model. The record is from RNAcentral. Lineage: Eukaryota; Fungi; Neocallimastigomycota; Neocallimastigomycetes; Neocallimastigales.